CAAAGUGUAACUUAACUAAAGCCUCUCGCUUACACCGAAAAAAUAUCUAUUGAACUUAGAUCACUUUGAG
RNAcentral lists this transfer RNA (70 nucleotides) under Gephyromantis cornutus. RNAcentral's name for it is "partial tRNA-Val". The record is from RNAcentral. Lineage: Eukaryota; Metazoa; Chordata; Amphibia; Anura; Mantellidae.